Molecule: ribosomal RNA, 593 nt
Filed under: uncultured Tetracladium
Lineage: Eukaryota; Fungi; Ascomycota
Description: eukaryotic LSU rRNA
Rfam family: 5.8S ribosomal RNA (bases 232-385)
Source: RNAcentral
CUUGGUCAUUUAGAGGAAGUAAAAGUCGUAACAAGGUUUCCGUAGGUGAACCUGCGGAAGGAUCAUUACCGAGUUCAUGCCCUCACGGGUAGACCUCCCACCCUUUGUAUACCUUACCUUUUGUUGCUUUGGCGGGCCGCCUAGCUACUGGCUUCGGCUGGUAAGUGCCCGCCAGAGGACCCAAACCCAAACCCAUUUAUAGUGUCGUCUGAGAAAAAGUUUAAUAUUUAAAACUUUCAACAACGGAUCUCUUGGCUCUGGCAUCGAUGAAGAACGCAGCGAAAUGCGAUAAGUAAUGUGAAUUGCAGAAUUCAGAGAAUCGUCGAAUCUUUGAACGCACAUUGCGCCCCUUGGUAUUCCGAGGGGCAUGCCUAUUCGAGCGUCAUUAUCACCCCUCAAGCUCCGGCUUGGUGUUGAGGCCUGCUGUAAAGGCACCCUCUAAAAUCAGUGGCAGUGCCGUCAGGCUCUAAGCGUAGUAAUUUCAUCGCUAUAGACCCGAGCGGACCCUCGCCAGAAACCCCCCAUUUUUUAAUGAUUGACCUCGGAUUAGGUACGGAUACCCGCUGAACUUAAGCAUAUCAAUAAGCGGAGGA